Molecule: long non-coding RNA, 733 nt
Filed under: Oryza sativa Indica Group (long-grained rice)
Lineage: Eukaryota; Viridiplantae; Streptophyta; Magnoliopsida; Poales; Poaceae
Description: lncRNA OsMH63_01G008730
Source: RNAcentral
AGAUCGAGAGGGGAGAGAGAGGCGGCGGCAUCCUGCGCAGGAGCGAGCGACGCCGACGUCGUGCGGCGGGGCCAGCGGCGCCCGUUGCUUCCUACCUUCUCCGUCCUUCUCCCCCCCCCCCCCCCCCCCCCAUCCCUCCUCUCGCCGGCCCCCUCAUCUUCUUCAGAGCCGGCGGCGGCAACCUACUACAGCGCCCUAGUGCCCUUCUCUCUCUCGUCUGCUGCUGCUCCGCGCAUCCUCCCAGUGAGGCCGAAUGGAUCAGGAGAAGGUACAAAACUAGAGGAAGACUACCUGCCUGACCGCACUGUGUCCUUCCAUCAUCCCAGCGGCAGUGGAGGCAGCAUGCAGUUCAUGUCUCUCGGCCAGAGCAACAACGCCAUUAUCGGUGUUGACAAUGAGUGCCGUACCAUCCUUUACAACACCGAGUGGCACUCCAUACGCACAAUGCCCAGUAUGCACGGUUGCAAAUGGUCUCCUCCGGUAUCACUUGCAGUGAACAACAGCCUGUACGUCAUGGAGUUGUAUCCUCGGCAAGAUGGCCAUGUCUCCUUUGAGGUGCUCGCCUACGGCAGCCAGCAUGCAUACGGCAGCCAGCCCGUCUAUGGCAGGAUGCCCAGCAAGCCCAGCAGAGCGUACCGGGAGGACUGGUACUGGCGCUCUCUCCCACCACCUCCCUAUGUGCACUAUCAAGGAUAUGAAAAGGGAGAGAGAGAGAGGGGAUAGAGACUAGAGA